GAAUUUGAUGAACUUCUUCCCAAGUACCUCAGUUUUUUGAGGGGUCUUGUUGAUUCCGACACGUUACCCCUUAAUGUUUCACGUGAAAUGCUUCAACAACAUAGCAGUCUGAAAACAAUAAAGAAGAAAUUAAUUCGCAAGGCCCUUGAUAUGAUCCGCAAACUUGCAGAAGAGGAUCCCGAUGAGGCGAACAACAAAGAUACAACAGACACAGAGAAAGCCAGUGAUGAUGAUGAUGAGAAGAAGGGACAAUAUGCCAAAUUCUGGAAUGAGUUUGGCAAAUCAAUUAAGCUUGGCAUUGUUGAAGAUGCACAAAACAGAAAUCGUCUGGCCAAACUUCUCAGAUUUGAAAGCUCCAAGUCUGAUGGUAAGCUUACAUCGCUGGACCAGUACAUCUCUAGGAUGAAGCCUGGACAAAAGGAUAUCUUCUAUAUAACAGGAACAAACAAGGAGCAACUAGAGAAGUCUCCGUUCCUCGAGAAGCUUAAUAAGAAGAAUUAUGAGGUUAUUUUCUUUACUGAUCCGGUGGACGAGUACCUCAUGCAAUACCUGAUGGACUAUGAAGACAAGAAGUUCCAGAAUGUCUCCAAAGAGGGCCUCAACCUUGGGAAAGACUCUAAGCUCAAGGACCUCAAGGAGUCCUUCAAGGAGCUGACCAAGUGGUGGAAAGAUGCCCUUGCCAGCGAGGGUGUUGACUCUGUCAAGAUAAGUAACCGUUUGGACAGCACCCCCUGUGUGGUGGUCACGUCGAAAUACGGGUGGAGUGCAAACAUGGAAAAAAUUAUGCAGUCCCAGACCCUUUCUGAUGCAGGUAAACAAGCAUACAUGAAAGGGAAGAGAGUCCUUGAGAUUAACCCCAGGCAUCCCAUCAUCAAGGAACUUCGCGAGAGAGUUGCUCUUGAUCCCCAGGAUGCUAGUGUGAAGCAGACGGCAAGACUGGUGUACAAGACAGCUCUUUUGGAGAGUGGCUUCAUUCUCAAUGACCCCAAAGAUUUCGCUAAUAGCAUAUAUGAGUCUGUUAAGUCAAGCCUGAAGAUUAGCCCUGAUGUAGCAGUAGAAGAGGAAGAUGACCUCGAAGAACCAGAGGUUGAAGAGAAGGAAUCAACUCCUGAGGGAGAGAAUACAGAAGCUUUCGAAGAGGAGGAGGUUGGACACGACGAGCUAUAGACUAGGGAAGGUGUAUCCUUUUUUCUUUCUGUGUGUUCCCCUGAAGAAGAUUUUGGUAGCCAAAUGUGGUGAACUUUGUGGAGGAAAUGUGCAGCAGGCUCUCUGUUGCUCUUAUUAAAAUAGAGGAUCGAGUGAUAAUUGUCUUGUAAACGUAACAAAUGAGAUUUUGGUGAACUUUUAGGAGUUUCUAAUGUUGUUAGUGAUGUCUGCAUGGCCAGUUUAUGUUGUUUCUUGAUUCGGUCUUUUAUUAUACUAGUAGC
This 1427-nucleotide unclassified non-coding RNA is filed under the name Hevea brasiliensis (rubber tree). Lineage: Eukaryota; Viridiplantae; Streptophyta; Magnoliopsida; Malpighiales; Euphorbiaceae. The record is from RNAcentral.